This 274-nucleotide ribosomal RNA is filed under the name uncultured bacterium. Its description in RNAcentral is "partial 16S ribosomal RNA". It matches the Rfam family "Bacterial small subunit ribosomal RNA", at positions 523 to 796 of the family's 1533-position model. The record is from RNAcentral.
AUACGGAGGGUGCGAGCGUUAAUCGGAAUUACUGGGCGUAAAGCGUACGUAGGCGGUUGGUUAAGUUAGAUGUGAAAGCCCCGGGCUUAACCUGGGAACUGCAUUUAAGACUGGCGAACUAGAGUUGAGUAGAGGGGAGUGGAAUUUCAGGUGUAGCGGUGAAAUGCGUAGAGAUCUGAAGGAACACCAGUGGCGAAGGCGACUCCCUGGACUCGAACUGACGCUGAGGUACGAAAGCGUGGGUAGCAAACGGGAUUAGAUACCCUUGUAGUCC